AUCAGUUUGUAUGAGGCUAUUUUAACUUUUAUUUGACUAACUUUGAAUUAAUCAAGCAACAAUGGCGAGAGACCCCUCUCAUUAUGACACAAAUGGUUUAGUCCACACCUGCACUAGAUUACGGGCUAAUUUAUUUUAAAACGGUCCAAAAGAGCAAAACAAAGUCAAGUGAGGUUAUUUAUUUAUUUUUUAUUUUUUUUAAAGAACAACACACUUAGAACAGGCCAGGUGAACCAGACUGAAGCACCUGCCGCGGUUCAACAGCUCACUGAAGACAACAAGCUCUGCACUCACGGCCUGAUCCCCUCCUCCCUGUAUACCGGUACAUGUUCAGUAGGAUGGAAGCGUCGGACAUCGAACAGGCAAAGAUAGACUCCGAAGAUGUCUACUGACCAGGUAACGUCUGAGUGAAUGCCUGCUAGUGUCUUCCAUUGAGGCUGCUUCUUAUGUCGCCGAUGUAUGUGACGGCGUGCCGUUAAGCAAUUUGUGAUUCUCGCGAGAUUUGGCGGGACGCCACCUUUCAGACUUGCAUUGCUAGUUCUGCCAACGGUGUCCCUCUCCUGCUUUGCUAUUGGGAUGAUUCGCUAUACUACAAGUUCGUUUACCAUCAAAAUGACUUCGAAGCUGUUAUAUUAAGGUAAAAAUCUUGCAUAGUGUGCCUUUAACUGUGUAACAAAAUAGCUGUUUGGCUUUGUUUUUUCUUCAAAAUUCAGUUAGCAAGUAAGUUUUCAAUUUGUCUGGCUGCUUGUGUUUCUUGUCCCAUAUGACCUUAUUUUCGCCAGAGCCAUGAAAAUAAAUCUCAAGUUGUAGUAAAUGUUCAACAGGUCCUACUA
This 833-nucleotide long non-coding RNA is filed under the name Dicentrarchus labrax (European seabass). Its description in RNAcentral is "lncRNA (ENSDLAG00005027757.1)". Lineage: Eukaryota; Metazoa; Chordata; Actinopteri; Moronidae. The record is from RNAcentral.